CCUACGGAGGCAGCAGUGGGGAAUAUUGGACAAUGGGCGCAAGCCUGAUCCAGCAAUGCCGCGUGAGUGAUGAAGGCCCUAGGGUUGUAAAGCUCUUUUACCAGGGAUGAUAAUGACAGUACCUGGAGAAUAAGCUCCGGCUAACUCCGUGCCAGCAGCCGCGGU
This 165-nucleotide ribosomal RNA is filed under the name uncultured bacterium. RNAcentral's name for it is "partial 16S ribosomal RNA". It matches the Rfam family "Bacterial small subunit ribosomal RNA", at positions 338 to 521 of the family's 1533-position model. The record is from RNAcentral.